This 636-nucleotide ribosomal RNA is filed under the name uncultured bacterium. RNAcentral's name for it is "bacterial SSU rRNA". It matches the Rfam family "Bacterial small subunit ribosomal RNA", at positions 8 to 677 of the family's 1533-position model. The record is from RNAcentral.
AGAGUUUGAUCAUGGCUCAGAACAAACGCUGGCGGCAUGCCUAACACAUGCAAGUCGAACGGUAACAGGCCGCAAGGUGCUGACGAGUGGCAAACGGGUGAGUAACGCGUGGAUGACCUAUCCCGUGGUGGGGGACAACAGUUGGAAACGACUGCUAAUACCGCAUUAGCUCUAUGGAGGAAAGCCGCAAGGCGCCAUGGGAGGGGUCCGCGUAAGAUUAGCUUGUUGGUGGGGUAACGGCCUACCAAGGCGAUGAUCUUUAGCUGGUCUGAGAGGAUGAUCAGCCACACUGGGACUGAGACACGGCCCAGACUCCUACGGGAGGCAGCAGUGGGGAAUAUUGCGCAAUGGGGGAAACCCUGACGCAGCAAUGCCGCGUGGGUGAAGAAGGCCUUCGGGUUGUAAAGCCCUUUUAGUGGGGACGAUUGUGACGGUACCCACAGAAAAAGCCCCGGCUAACUCCGUGCCAGCAGCCGCGGUAAUACGGAGGGGGCGAGCGUUGUUCGGAAUUACUGGGCGUAAAGCGCGCGCAGGCGGUUAAGUAAGUCAGGAGUGAAAGGCCAGGGCUCAACCCUGGGACUGCUCUUGAAACUACUUGACUGGAGUUAGGUAGAGGGUGGCGGAAUUCCCCGUGUA